Long non-coding RNA from Lampris incognitus (smalleye Pacific opah), 393 nucleotides. RefSeq lists it as uncharacterized. The record is from RefSeq and is a predicted model, not a curated record. NCBI's taxonomy places the organism in Eukaryota, Metazoa, Chordata, Actinopteri, Lampriformes, Lampridae. The transcript is spliced from 3 exons.
CCACGUGUUGCCAGAGGAAGUGACUGCCUCCUUCACUCCUACAUCUAUUCUAGCAGGAUUAAGAUCUUCUACACCCACCUGAAGCUGCAGCCUUCACCUUCAGGUUUAAAAGACAAGGAUGCGUAAAUGCAUGUGUACCUUGUGACUGUGCGGCUGUCUGCUAUUGUGCUGCUGUUUCGGCAUGGCAAAGCUGCCAACAAGAUGUUAAGUCUCACUGGGUUUUUCUCAGCAUCCAUUUAGGCCGCUUCCGUGCACAGACUCUGGAGAAAUGUCACACCUAUUCAGGAAUCAACUCAGAAAUGUGUCCAAAUCAACCUCCAUCACUGAACUGAUGACGUGCAUCGACAAAACGAGGGAUCGUUCAUCCUUUCCGACAAGGCUGGUGUUUUUUAC